Molecule: ribosomal RNA, 465 nt
Filed under: uncultured bacterium
Lineage: Bacteria
Description: partial 16S ribosomal RNA
Rfam family: Bacterial small subunit ribosomal RNA
Source: RNAcentral
GACGAACGCUGGCGGCGUGCUUAACACAUGCAAGUCGAACGGAAAGGCCCUGCUUGCAGGGUACUCGAGUGGCGAACGGGUGAGUAACACGUGGGUGAUCUGCCCUGCACUUCGGGAUAAGCCUGGGAAACUGGGUCUAAUACCGGAUAGGAGCCAUUUUUAGUGUGAUGUUUGGAAAGUUUUUUCGGUGUAGGAUGAGCUCGCGGCCUAUCAGCUUGUUUGUGGGGUAAUGGCCUACCAAGGCGGCGACGGGUAGCCGGCCUGAGAGGGUGGACGGCCACAUUGGGACUGAGAUACGGCCCAGACUCCUACGGGAGGCAGCAGUGGGGAAUAUUGCACAAUGGGCGCAAGCCUGAUGCAGCGACGCCGCGUGGGGGAUGACGGCCUUCGGGUUGUAAACUCCUUUCGCUAGGGACGAAGCUUUUUGUGACGGUACCUAGAUAAGAAGCACCGGCUAACUACGUG